UGGCGACGAUGUCUAGGGGUUCUGAGAGGAAGGUCCCCCACACUGGAACUGAGACACGGUCCAGACUCCUACGGGAGGCAGCAGUGAGGAAUAUUGGUCAAUGGUCAGACGACUGAACCAGCCAUGCCACGUGAAGGUGACGGCCCUAUGGGUCUUAAACUUCUUUUGCAAGGGAGCAAUAAGAGCUACGUGUAGCUUGAUGAGAGUACCUUGCGAAUAAGCAUCGGCUAACUCCGUGCCAGCAGCCGCGGUAAUACGGGGGAUGCAAGCGUUAUCCGGAUUUAUUGGGUUUAAAGGGUGCGUAGGCGGCGUCUUAAGUCAGCGGUGAAAUUUAGGGGCUCAACCUCUACCGUGCCGUUGAUACUGGGAUGCUGGAAUGCGGAUGCCGUGGGAGGAAUGUGUGGUGUAGCGGUGAAAUGCAUAGAUAUCACACAGAACACCGAUUGCGAAGGCAUCUCACGAAUCCGCUAUUGACGCUGAUGCACGAAAGCGUGGGGAUCAAACAGGAUUAGAUACCCUGGUAGUCCACGCUGUAAACGAUGAUGACUAACCGUCGGCGAUACACAGUCGGUGGCCAAGCGAAAGCGAUAAGUCAUCCACCUGGGGAGUACGACCGCAAGGUUGAAACUCAAAGGAAUUGACGGGGGCCCGCACAAGCGGAGGAACAUGUGGUUUAAUUCGAUGAUACGCGAGGAACCUUACCCGGGCUCGAACGGCAGAUGAAUAACUUAGAGACAAGUUAGUCUUCGGACAUCUGUCGAGGUGCUGCAUGGUUGUCGUCAGCUCGUGCUGUGAAGUGUCGGCUUAAGUGCCAUAACGAGCGCAACCCUUGCCGUUAGUUGCCAUCAGGUUAUGCUGGGGACUCUAGCGGGACUGCCACCGCAAGGUGUGAGGAAGGGGGGGAUGACGUCAAAUCAGCACGGCCCUUACGUCCGGGGCGACACACGUGUUACAAUGGUGGGUACAGAGGGGUGCUACCUGGCGACAGGAUGCCGAUCUCGAAAACCCAUCCCAGUUCGGAUUGUAUUGUGCAACCC
This 1037-nucleotide ribosomal RNA is filed under the name uncultured bacterium. RNAcentral describes it as "bacterial SSU rRNA". It matches the Rfam family "Bacterial small subunit ribosomal RNA", at positions 271 to 1313 of the family's 1533-position model. The record is from RNAcentral.